RNAcentral lists this ribosomal RNA (85 nucleotides) under Gammaproteobacteria bacterium. RNAcentral's name for it is "partial 16S ribosomal RNA". It matches the Rfam family "Bacterial small subunit ribosomal RNA", at positions 1 to 82 of the family's 1533-position model. The record is from RNAcentral. Lineage: Bacteria; Pseudomonadati; Pseudomonadota; Gammaproteobacteria.
UUAAACUGGAGAGUUUGAUCCUGGCUCAGAUUGAACGCUGGCGGCAUGCCUAACACAUGCAAGUCGAACGGAAACGACGAGAAUA